GAAGAACCGCCAGUGCACGAUCUCCAUACUGCCGGUAACUGCAACAAAAACGUUGGGUUCAAAUGGAUCAGAAGAAGCAAACGAAAAAGGAACAAACAGGAGAAGAAAGAAAUAGAGCCGACAUUAAAGCCGACAUUAGGAGUAGAGAGGAGAUCAAUCAAACUGGCUGAGAUUCUGAGAAGGUAUGUUUUAUCGUUUGCUAAUUCUCGAAUUCUGUUCUCCCUUGAUUUUGAGACCAUGAUUAAUAUUUAUGAAUCUCAGAAGGUAUGCAGACUUGAUUUUUGGAAGGUUUGAGGACUUGAUUUCAGGAUAGAUACAAGCCUAGGACAAAUCAAUGGAGAAGGCUAGGUAUGUGCACUUCAAUUCUGGGUGAAAUCCUGCAGUGGAGCAGUCGAAGUGAAUAACACACUGUUCUUUGGGUUUUAAUUUUUUCAAGAGCACAGUAAGAAGUUUGCUUGGACCAGUAGAGAAAAAUCAAAUGCAAAUGGUAAAUAUAGUACGCUGAAGAUUGGGGAUUUUAUUGUCAGCCAGGUUUUCGAGUUAAUGGAACUGCUGAGACUUGGAACACUUUGAUAUAUAGGAUAUUUUGUAUUCUAUUGUGAUCGUACUUAUUUUUAUACUUUUACUUCUUAUAUUGUGAUCUCUUCAUUAGUCAUCUUUAAAUAAGAUGUCUUAUGCAAAGAAGGGCGCCGUUAGUAAGAUGGUGUUUUUGUUUAAAAGGUGCUUUAUAUAUCAGUUUUACUUUCUGGAAUUACUUUACUAAUUAUCUUUUUUUGAAUGAGUGGUAAAUCUGUGAACGAUACUGAAACUGGAUGCACUAAUUCUGCUUUUAAGGCAUAUGUAAAAACCAGAAGUCUAAUAUAAGAAUUUCAUUGGGUAUUGGAGAGCCUAAUAAUGUUGUACAUGUGCUGAUAACGUGGUUUUGUAACGUAGAUCGAAGUACUUAUAGUGUGGUAUUGCCUGUCCAUAAUCAAUGAUAGACAAUACUUGGCAGCCUCAUAAUCAAAUAGGUUUCCUUACAUUUAAUUCCUACUGAGUGUAUAAAACAUUUGAUCUCUUCAUUGUUUCUAUCCAAAUAAAGAAUUUAUGAGUGUAUUCCCUAUUUAUCUUUUAUCUUCUCCAGGUCUGUUGUGGUUAGUGAACUUGCAGAACUCCGGACUAACUCCACUCUUUAAAUCACACCAUCACUGCAAAGCAGAGUCACAAAGACACGCAUAUGAUGAAAGAAAGUGUUAAAAUAAAGAGGCAUCUCUAUUGUACACUGAGAAGGACAGUUCAUAUCCUAACCUAAUCUUCGGUGUACAAGUCAGGAAUACUUGCUUUGAAGACAGUUUUGGUUCCGUUGGCAAAGAACUUUAUUUGAGGAUGUUGGUGAUGGAAAGGUACUACAAAGGGUUUGUGGGAUAGAGGGCAGACAUGGAGAGUGAGGUGCUAUUU
Fragaria vesca subsp. vesca is the source of this 1437-nucleotide RNA transcript. RefSeq lists it as uncharacterized. The record is from RefSeq and is a predicted model, not a curated record. NCBI's taxonomy places the organism in Eukaryota, Viridiplantae, Streptophyta, Magnoliopsida, Rosales, Rosaceae. The transcript is spliced from 3 exons.